ACGAACGCUGGCGGCAGGCCUAAAACAUGCAAGUCGAACGGUGUAGCAAUACAUAGUGGCGCACGGGUGAGUAACACGUGGGAAUGUGCCUUUUGGUACGGAAUAGCUUCGGGAAACUGGAAUUAAUACCGUAUGGUCCCUUCGGGGUAAAGAUUUAUCGCCAAAAGAGCAGCCCGCGCUGGAUUAGCUAGUUGGUAGGGUAAUGGCCUACCAAGGCGACGAUCCAUAGCUGGUCUGAGAGGAUGAUCAGCCACACUGGGACUGAGACACGGCCCAGACUCCUACGGGAGGCAGCAGUUAGGAAUAUUGGACAAUGGGCGCAAGCCUGAUCCAGCCAUGCCGCGUGAGUGAUGAAGGCCUUCGGGUUGUAAAGCUCUUUAGUCCACGAAUAUAAUGACUGUAGUGGAAGAAUAAGCCCCGGCUAACUUCGU
RNAcentral lists this ribosomal RNA (431 nucleotides) under uncultured bacterium. Its description in RNAcentral is "bacterial SSU rRNA". It matches the Rfam family "Bacterial small subunit ribosomal RNA", at positions 29 to 506 of the family's 1533-position model. The record is from RNAcentral.